AUUUUGAAUAGACAAACUUAAACAAGUUACCCCUACACAGAUAGUUGUCUUCAACACCUAUAUAAUGCAUUAAAGCUUGUCUCCUCUGUUUUUCUUCCUAACCUGUCACCCCCAAGCCUGGCACAUUGCCUGACCCGGGGGUGGGUGCCAGUUCCUCUGCAGCCCACGUACACCCUGCGCAGCACAGAGGCCGACGCGUGGCCACCUCCACCCUCCCACAAGAGCAGUGAGGAUCUCCUGCAGCUCCUGUCCCAUUUUUUCCCAUGAUCCUGAAUCAGAGGCUCAGUUGGGAGUGACAAUGUGUUCGGGGCUGUUGGUGAAAGCCUCAGCCAUCUGUUACCCCUACUAAGAAGGGAAGACAAGAGAGACACAGGGAGACAGAGAGCAUUGAGCUUUGUGGCUUUUCCAAGCGUCCGGGAUCAUCAUUCAACUCAAGGGCAGCCAAGGAACAUUCCUGCACACUGGACCCUCCAUGUACAGGGGAAAGGCCUGAGAGGGGCGAGGGAUCCAGAGGUGCGCGGGGAGAGACGGGGAGACAGAGGGAGAAAGACGGAAAGUUACGGAGUGAUCCUUACAAAACGGGUAGGACCAUUUCAUAGGACUAUGAAAGAAAAGGCCAAGAAGGGACCUCCAGAAGCCAUCUGGACCACCUCACUGCCUCUGGACCACCUCUCUGCUUCUAGACAAGAUCCACCGCAUCGUAGCUGACAGGUAUUUGUCUGACCUGCUCCUAAAGACUCCCGUAGCUCACCCCAGC
This 757-nucleotide long non-coding RNA is filed under the name Dromaius novaehollandiae (emu). RNAcentral's name for it is "lncRNA (ENSDNVG00000009790.1)". The record is from RNAcentral. Lineage: Eukaryota; Metazoa; Chordata; Aves; Casuariiformes; Dromaiidae.